Molecule: transfer RNA, 1384 nt
Filed under: Cricetulus griseus (Chinese hamster)
Lineage: Eukaryota; Metazoa; Chordata; Mammalia; Rodentia; Cricetidae
Description: lncRNA (ENSCGRG00015030710.1)
Source: RNAcentral
GCCUUCUUCUCAGUAAGCUUUAUUCGUAUAUUUAUUUAUGUACUUAUAAACCCAGGGUCACGUAAACAUUUCUCAGGCCCAAAGGGGAGGGGCCAUGAGUGGGAAAAUCUUAGAAAUGCCGGGUGUGGACAAUGGUCUUCAAAACUUAGGAAGCUAGGAACGGAAUCCUGGACUGAUGACAUGACCCCAAGGCCUCCCAACUCCAGGCUCUGAGCCCAAAAGGUGGCCUUCAGUUAAGCCAUCCAACGGCUCUGCGGGCCAUGGGUGACAGGAAGAAAUGCCAGCACCCAAGGUCAUAGUCUGCAGUAGCGGGGACCCCCUGGGCUUUUCGAUUUCCCAGGUCGGUGAUGGGCGACAAGGAGCAGCGAGGCGGUGCCAUCGGAGCCCUGCGGCUGUGUCUGUCUGUAAGAGGAAGGAGAGGAUGCAGAACCAAAGGCCAGAGCCCAGCUUGGGUCACACAGUGGCCCUGCGACCCACGGGACUAGACGCACCCCGGAAAAUGACCGGCUCCCCACACUGCCCCCCACCACCACUGAGGAAGAGCCUGCACGCCGCGGGUAUCCCCGGCAGGGUCCCAGCUCGGAAGGUGGGGUGGGUCACACCUGACACGUCCCCAGGUAACUUGCUGUGCGACCCGUGGUGGCCUCGCACGAGUGGCCCAGGCCCCUGGAGUCCUCGCGCCCGGGCCGGGGUCCCCACCCGUGCUCGCACAGCACCGCUCCGCCCGGCUCGCACAGCGCCAGACACCCUACCCUCCCAAGCCGGGAGUGUCCUCGUCCCCAGCGAUCGCCAGUUGACAAUGGCAGGGUCAGGACCAGCAGCAGGUCCAGGUCCGUCCGCCUAGACCGCGCCAGAGACCUCAGGCCCAGCCACUGCAAGAUCGCUUCAUGUAACCCUCAGACCUGGAAAAGUCUGGAAAAAUCAUUUCUGGCAAGGGAAUCGACGAAGCGACCAAAAGUACUGUGCCCCGUGUGAGGCUCGAACUCACGACCUUCAGAUUAUGAGACUGACGCGCUGCCUACUGCGCUAACGAGGCACCUGGUCGUCGCUUCCGGCCUGAUUCUGAAGACUCUGCUGGAAAUGGCCAGCGCGCAUGCUCAGAGACUUGAGUUUGGUGUCGCUGUGUUCCCAUUCCAGCGACCUGCGGACCUCCGCCUGUCCCUCUGCCCAUCGGCGAACACAACGGGCACCUACAGUGUUCCCGGCCUCGUUCCUGAUGCUGGCGUCUCAGGGACACUCAGCCUGGAGCCGCUGCGCGGAAGGAGCCCCGGGUCGUGUUUGCAAGCAUGAGCGGCCGUGUGCACGCCCUGCUCUGCGCCCCACCCCGACCCCACCCCAGCCCCCCAGGGCAGCUGCCACAAGGUCCCCAGGAGCUCUGAGCGGC